This 156-nucleotide ribosomal RNA is filed under the name Phellodon violascens. RNAcentral's name for it is "Bankera violascens 5.8S ribosomal RNA". It matches the Rfam family "5.8S ribosomal RNA". From Rfam's summary of the family: 5.8S ribosomal RNA (5.8S rRNA) is a component of the large subunit of the eukaryotic ribosome. It is transcribed by RNA polymerase I as part of the 45S precursor that also contains 18S and 28S rRNA. Lineage: Eukaryota; Fungi; Basidiomycota; Agaricomycetes; Thelephorales; Thelephoraceae. The record is from RNAcentral.
GAAACAAUACAACUUUCAGCAACGGAUCUCUUGGCUCUCGCAUCGAUGAAGAACGCAGCGAAAUGCGAUAAGUAAUGUGAAUUGCAGAAUUCAGUGAAUCAUCGAAUCUUUGAACGCACCUUGCGCUCCUUGGUAUUCCGAGGAGCAUGCCUGUUU